This 200-nucleotide ribosomal RNA is filed under the name uncultured bacterium. Its description in RNAcentral is "partial 16S ribosomal RNA". It matches the Rfam family "Bacterial small subunit ribosomal RNA", at positions 524 to 723 of the family's 1533-position model. The record is from RNAcentral.
UACGGAGGGUGCAAGCGUUAUCCGGAAUUACUGGGUUUAAAGGGUGCGUAGGCGGCAACGUAAGUCAGAAGUGAAAGCUCUCGGCUCAACUGAGGAAUUGCUUUUGAUACUGCGUAGCUUGAAUAAGGUUGAGGUUAGCGGAAUGUGGCAUGUAGCGGUGAAAUGCAUAGAUAUGCCAUAGAACACCAAUUGCGAAGGCA